RNAcentral lists this ribosomal RNA (659 nucleotides) under Lycogala sp. Its description in RNAcentral is "partial small subunit ribosomal RNA". It matches the Rfam family "Eukaryotic small subunit ribosomal RNA", at positions 14 to 521 of the family's 1831-position model. The record is from RNAcentral. Lineage: Eukaryota; Evosea; Eumycetozoa; Liceales; Enteridiidae.
CUGCCAGAAUUCAUAUGCUUAUCCCGAAGAUUAAGCCAUGCAUGCCUACGAAAAAUCUGGCGGUACCGACCUUCGGCUUAACCCGCGAGGGAGCGGCCGAUAGCUGGGAGGCCGAUGACUCAGCGAACGGCUCCGUAUAUCUGUUGUGACCUAUCGUGGUAAAUUAGGCGUGGAUAUCCACGGAAAAUCUGUGGGUAAGCCAGCCAAUUGGGGCGCAACGCCUACCGGCUUGGCAUGCUGGGACGGGCUUAAGCGGGUUCUCCAUGCGAGGGCCCCGCCUCAUUAACUGCUCCCAAAGUACCAGCUUCCCGGCAUAACUGGGUUACAUGUAAAAUUUGGCUGCGAAACGGAGGCCUCUGCGACCGGACUGCCCCCCCGUUGUCAAUUGACCGACGAAGGUGGCCGGCUUAUGCAGAGACUAACCACAAGCGCACGAUGGGCUUCAGACCUAUCAGCUAGUUGGCAGGGUAUAGGCCUGCCAAGGCUAUGACGGGUACAGAGGAUCAGGGUUUGAUCCUGGAGAGGUAGCCUGAGAAAUCGCUCCCACUUCUAAGGAAGGCAGCAGGCGCGGAACGUUCCCAAUGCCGUUCGAUCGGUGAGGACGUGAAGGGAUAUAACAAUGCCCCCAAAAAAAUUUGGCGGGUAAUGCCAAUGGCCGG